Molecule: long non-coding RNA, 749 nt
Organism: Toxorhynchites rutilus septentrionalis
Lineage: Eukaryota; Metazoa; Arthropoda; Insecta; Diptera; Culicidae
Exons: 2
Source: RefSeq, a predicted model, not a curated record
GGUAGCAUUUUAGUUAUUCACGGUAACACAAGAAACGAGAGCUCCUUAUGGAAGGCCGAGAAACCGAGACGAGAUAAUUGCUGUCGCAGAGUAAUUAACUUUGGCAACGGUAGAUUCAAUACCUGCCACGUCAGUAGGUGUACGGGUACGAUCGAAAUUGUGUUUGUGAAGCAAUGGCUCUGUCAUAAAGUUGCACUGCGAUCUACUGUCGAGAAAUAUUCGCGCUAGACAACUUGUUUCGUUCCGAUUUUCAAAGUUGACUAAAGCUGUCCAUAAGAAAAUUGUUUUGUUGUGAGAUUCCACUUGUGUCGUUACCGCAUCAGGUGGGUUCGAGAUACACGUGAUGGCAAAUGGAGCAGAGUGUGUUGUGUUUGCGAUUGCGCUUUCGACAGGUUCCUGACAGACGAUUAUUUUUGCGAUUAUGUGUUGUUGUGUUCAAGCAAUUUCAACCCAGACUAUGUGUUUUUACGAGAUUUAAACGUUGAUGAGGCGAUAGUUUGAUGAGUUUGUUACAGCUUCCGAGAAAAUGGGCUUGAUAACAGCACUGACAGGUGUGAUGGGACUGUAGGGACCUAAUACUAAGAUAUCAAAAUAUGGCACCUACCUGAACGGGAGAGAUCUUGGCUGGCGAUGAGAGAGGCAACAGUGAGGGAUAGAUAUAGAAGGGAUUACGAGAAGAAACGUUGCACGCAAAGGUUGUGAAUUAAAUAAUGGUGAAAUAAAAGAGUGUAUCACGGAGUAAAAAUUAA